AUGAACGCUGGCGACGUGCUUAACACAUGCAAGUCGAACGAUUAAAGCUCACUUCGGUGAGUGUAUAGAGUGGCGAACGGGUGAGUAACACGUGGGAAACCUGCCCCUUUCUUCGGGAUAACUUCGGGAAACCGUUGCUAAUACCGGAUACUCCGGGAUGGUCGCAUGGCCGACCCGGGAAAGCUUUAUGUGGAAAGGGAUGGUCCCGCGGCCCAUUAGCUUGUUGGUGGGGUAAUGGCCUACCAAGGCAAUGAUGGGUAGCCG
RNAcentral lists this ribosomal RNA (264 nucleotides) under uncultured bacterium. Its description in RNAcentral is "partial 16S ribosomal RNA". It matches the Rfam family "Bacterial small subunit ribosomal RNA", at positions 29 to 289 of the family's 1533-position model. The record is from RNAcentral.